AGUGAACGCUGGCGGUAGGCCUAACACAUGCAAGUCGAACGGCAGCACAGUAAGAGCUUGCUCUUACGGGUGGCGAGUGGCGGACGGGUGAGGAAUACAUCGGAAUCUACUUUUUCGUGGGGGAUAACGUAGGGAAACUUACGCUAAUACCGCAUACGACCUACGGGUGAAAGCAGGGGAUCUUCGGACCUUGCGCGAUUGAAUGAGCCGAUGUCGGAUUAGCUAGUUGGCGGGGUAAAGGCCCACCAAGGCGACGAUCCGUAGCUGGUCUGAGAGGAUGAUCAGCCACACUGGAACUGAGACACGGUCCAGACUCCUACGGGAGGCAGCAGUGGGGAAUAGUGGACAAUGGGCGCAAGCCUGAUCCAGCCAUACCGCGUGGGUGAAGAAGGCCUUCGGGUUGUAAAGCCCUUUUGUUGGGAAAGAAAAGCAGAAGGUUAAUACCCCGCUGUUCUGACGGUACCAAAAGAAUAAACACCGGCUAACUUAGUG
This 492-nucleotide ribosomal RNA is filed under the name uncultured bacterium. Its description in RNAcentral is "partial 16S ribosomal RNA". It matches the Rfam family "Bacterial small subunit ribosomal RNA", at positions 29 to 507 of the family's 1533-position model. The record is from RNAcentral.